RNAcentral lists this ribosomal RNA (429 nucleotides) under Chloroflexota bacterium. RNAcentral describes it as "Chloroflexi bacterium partial 16S ribosomal RNA". It matches the Rfam family "Bacterial small subunit ribosomal RNA", at positions 355 to 776 of the family's 1533-position model. The record is from RNAcentral. Lineage: Bacteria; Bacillati; Chloroflexota.
UGGGGAAUAUUGCACAAUGGGCGCAAGCCUGAUGCAGCCAUGCCGCGUGUAUGAAGAAGGCCUUCGGGUUGUAAAGUACUUUCAGUCGGGAGGAAGGUGGUAAGGUUAAUAACCUUGGCAAUUGACGUUACCGACAGAAGAAGCACCGGCUAACUCCGUGCCAGCAGCCGCGGUAAUACGGAGGGUGCAAGCGUUAAUCGGAAUUACUGGGCGUAAAGCGCACGCAGGCGGUUGAUUGAGUCAGAUGUGAAAUCCCCGGGCUUAACCCGGGAAUUGCAUCUGAUACUGGUCAGCUAGAGUCUUGUAGAGGGGGGUAGAAUUCCAUGUGUAGCGGUGAAAUGCGUAGAGAUGUGGAGGAAUACCGGUGGAGAAGGCGGCCCCCGGGACAAAGACUGACGCUCAGGUGCGAAAGCGUGGGGAGCAAACAGG